UACCAACACCCCGAGUGGUCGGGACGAUUAUUGGGCCUAAAGCAUCCGUAGCCGGUUCUACAAGUCUUCCGUUAAAUCCACCUGCUCAACAGUUGGGCUGCGGAGGAUACUAUAGAGCUAGGAGGCGGGAGAGGCAAGCGGUACUUAGUGGGUAGGGGUAAAAUCCGUUGAUCCAUUGAAGACCACCAGUGGCGAAGGCGGCUUGCCAGAACGCACUCGACGGUGAGGGAUGAAAGCUGGGGGAGCAAACCGG
Molecule: ribosomal RNA, 253 nt
Filed under: uncultured bacterium
Lineage: Bacteria
Description: partial 16S ribosomal RNA
Rfam family: Archaeal small subunit ribosomal RNA
Source: RNAcentral